AGAAAGUUUAAUUCUAGCUUAUAAGUAUAUAAAUACUAAAAAGAUUAUAUAAAAUUUAUUAAAUUUCUUAAAAUAGUCUGUAAAAUUAAAAAUUAGUGAAAGCUAAAUUUUGUUUUAGUAAAUAAUUUUGGUAAAAAUACGUGCCAGCAACUGCGGUUAUACUAUUGAGGUAAAUAUACUUUUAUUUAUAAUUUUAAUUUAUUUAAUUAUGAAGAAAAAAAAAUUUUUUUAGGUGAAAUUUAAAAUUUUUAUGAUUCUAAAAAUAAAUUUUUAAAAACUUUCCUAAAAACUAGGAUUAGAUACCCUAUUAUUAAAGAUUAUAGAAUUGAGUAGUAAAGAAUUUUCUGAAACUUAAAGAAUUUGGCGGUAUUUUAACUAAUUGGAGGAACCUGUUAUUUAAUUGACACUACACAUUUAAUUUUUCCUAAAAUUUGUUUGUAUAUCGUUGUUUUCAGAUAAUAUUUAAAAAUUAUUAUCAAUGUUAAUAAAAUUUUAUAAAUCAAAUCAAGGUGCAGCAUUUUUAGGUUUUAAUGGGUUACAAUAUAUAUUAUAUACUACGAAUAAAAUAUUAAAAUAUAAUGAAGGUGGAUUCAAAAGUAAUUUAAAAUUAAAUAGUUUUUUUGAUUAAUAAUUUAAAAUAUGCACAUAUCGCCCGUCACUCUUUCUAUUUAAGGAAGAUAAGUCGUAACAUAGUAGAUUUACUGGAAAGUGAAUCUGGAAUGUA
Molecule: non-coding RNA, 724 nt
Filed under: Vaejovis smithi
Lineage: Eukaryota; Metazoa; Arthropoda; Arachnida; Scorpiones; Vaejovidae
Source: RNAcentral